GAAGCUGACCAGACAGUCGCCGCUUCGUCGUCGUCCUUUCGGGGAGACGGGCGGAGGGGAGGAAAGUCCGGGCUCCAUAGGGCAGGGUGCCAGGUAACGCCUGGGGGGGAAACCCACGACCAGUGCAACAGAGAGCAAACCGCCGAUGGCCCACGUAAGUGGGAUCAGGUAAGGGUGAAAGGGUGCGGUAAGAGCGCACCGCGCGGCUGGUAACAGUCCGUGGCACGGUAAACUCCACCCGGAGCAAGGCCAAAUAGGGGUUCAUAAGGUACGGCCCGUACUGAACCCGGGUAGGCUGCUCGAGCCAGUGAGCGAUUGCUGGCCUAGAUGAAUGACUGUCCACGACAGAACCCGGCUUAUCGGUCAGUUUCAC
RNAcentral lists this RNase P RNA (373 nucleotides) under Salmonella enterica. RNAcentral's name for it is "RNase P RNA component class A". It matches the Rfam family "Bacterial RNase P class A". From Rfam's summary of the family: Ribonuclease P (RNase P) is a ubiquitous endoribonuclease, found in archaea, bacteria and eukarya as well as chloroplasts and mitochondria. Its best characterised activity is the generation of mature 5'-ends of tRNAs by cleaving the 5'-leader elements of precursor-tRNAs. RNAcentral also lists the same sequence under 1 other name. Lineage: Bacteria; Pseudomonadati; Pseudomonadota; Gammaproteobacteria; Enterobacterales; Enterobacteriaceae. The record is from RNAcentral.